UACGAAGGGUGCAAGCGUUGUUCGGAUUUAUUGGGCGUAAAGCGCGCGCAGGCGGGAUGGCAAGUCAGAUGUGAAAACUCGGAGCUUAACUUCGAACGUGCGUCUGAAACUACCGUUCUAGAGUAGCGAAAGGGGAAGGGGAAUUUCACAUGUAGGGGUAAAAUCCGUAGAGAUGUGAAGGAACACCUGGGGCGAAAGCGCCUUCCUAGUCGCUUACUGACGCUGAGGCGCGAAAGCGUGGGGAGCAAACAGG
Molecule: ribosomal RNA, 253 nt
Filed under: uncultured bacterium
Lineage: Bacteria
Description: partial 16S ribosomal RNA
Rfam family: Bacterial small subunit ribosomal RNA
Source: RNAcentral